This is a long non-coding RNA of Topomyia yanbarensis, 2826 nucleotides long. RefSeq lists it as uncharacterized. Lineage: Eukaryota; Metazoa; Arthropoda; Insecta; Diptera; Culicidae. The record is from RefSeq and is a predicted model, not a curated record. The transcript has 3 exons.
UACAGAUUUAUCUAGAAAGGUACAGAAUUUUUUCAUAUUUUUGGUACAGAUUCUGUACGGUACAGAUUACAGAAUUUUCUGAAAAAGUACAGAUUUGUACAGAUUUUUUUACACGACAGCAGCGUUGCGUUCCAGUAAACAGUGUGCAAAUAUUGGGUUUGGUUGCUAAGGGAAUGGCGGCAAAAAGCUGAGCUGGAUGUGGAUCUGAUACUGUCAGGAUACGAGAAGCCUGCUAGUUUGGUUUCUCGCACCUCGUCACAAUGUCAGUACCUACAUUAUUUUUACACUAAACGGCAUGUUACGGCGGGUGCGAGGCAAGCCGCUUUUCAAUAGCAUACCGCUCGCCAGAAUCUAUUUAAAUCAGCCUAUUCGUCUUUUCGUUUACUGGGUAUCAUAACCAUCAACUUCAGUUCAGUCACAGGCGGCGCCACUCGAUUAACAGCAUUUUCUGACAAGACACAUCUGUUGCGGUUGUCAACAUCAGAACUGUUUUCAAUCUUAUCUUGUGUUUCGGCUUUACACGUUUUAUUUUGUUUUAUUCUAGUUACACAUUUAUUAAAAACACAGGUUUGGUAAAACAUAUCUCCGAUUUAGCAAAAUUUAAGGUGAUCUUGGACCCAUGCUCAACGAGGACAGCUUUAUGCUUAAACCCUCGUCAUGAAUUGCAGAAGUCGAUCAACGGAACACACUAUAUUUGCAAUCCAUUACGAAGUGCAGGUGGUAGUACCGAGAUCGAGUACAACAAAUACUGAUAUUGCAGUUUAUAUACGCUUCCAGUUGCAACCGUUUAGGCCGAAGGAUUUUUAGUUUUUUUAUUAGAAUAUUUGCUGCACCAGAUAAGUUUGAACCGUUGCGGUUACAUUGACCGCUGAGCAUCACCCAAUGAGCUGUCUAUUGCGCAUAUUUGCUUAAAUUUAUUGGAAUUGAUGGGUCUUGUUUUUCUCAAGAGCUACUAUCUGGUAGAUCGCCAGAAACACGAAAAUCGCUUGGACAUGUCGUCGAACAGCUACUGAAUAAAAAGAUGUUUUUUGUGAUACCCUUCCAUGACUAAAUUUUUUAUGAAGAGCAGAGGAAUAUAUCCCACCCAGCGUAUUUUGCUUAUAGUAUGGCUUUACUAUUGAUUGUGUGAAGCUAUUUUGAAAAUAUUGAUCCUGUAGAAUUCAAAUUGGAAUGAUGUAUUGAUGCUGCCUUGUUAAUAUAUUUAUAGACAAUAUUCCGGUCUAGUGUAGGGUUCGCUUAUCACAGCGUAUUUUGCUUGACUACUCGCCUUACGCGAUCAUUAAAAGUGACAUUACUUCUCAGUAAUGACAUUACUAACGCAUCGUGUGAGGGUCCCAACCAGGUAAAGUUCAACCGAAAAAUGAACAGGAAUUCUGGCUGGUUCUAGUUAGUACUCCGGCUCCAGUGACAACCGAUUCUAGCUAGAAUCUGUUGUGUCACUGGAGUCGGUAUACUAACUAGAACCAGCCAGAUUUCCGGCUGAACUUUACUUGGUAAUAGCCCACCGCUCGCCGGCUUCUAGUUGAAACAGCCUAGUCGUCGUUUCGUUGACUGGGUUUUCUCGAUUGAAAGUAUUUUCGAGAGAGUCUAUGAACAAAGAGUGGCGAACAGAUGAGAUGUAUCUACAACUUUCGAAAAUAUAACAAUUACUCCAUUAGUUAUUGAGUAGCGUAACGUAUCGUAAAAUAUUAAAUGGACUAAUCGAUAAACAGCUAUUAGUAUGCUUCUUACAUGCUCUUUAAGAGCAUGUUCAGGAGUGUUUCAGUUCUAGAUUCAUAAUUUUGACAGUUCUAUUAUAUAAAACUGAAAAUUUUAAAACUAGAACUUGCUGUCCCCAGCAGCAGUUCUAGCGGAUGUUCUAUUCAGUUUAAAAUUCAUGUCUCGCCAUUCCUUCAGCGUUACUGCAUUCAAUUUUUUUUCCCCAGCCUAUCGGGUCUAAGUGUAUGUGCUGAAAACUUUGCAUGUAUUUAAAACACAGUUCUAAACGUGUUUUAAAAUCAGCAACAAAUAGAACGGAGUCGUAUAACAGUUUUAAAUUUUGAAACAAAGCUGUUCGAAAUAAUAAAACAAAACGCUCUGCUGGGGAUGUGAAUGUUUCAGUUCCAGUUCUACUUUGAAACUCCUAUACAAAAUAAAACGCUCCUGAACAUGCCCUAGAGUACUUGACAAUAAUGUACAAUAGGUUCACAGAGGGCAGCAGAAAUUCAAAUAUAUAUUCAUUCAAGUAAAUAUUGGGCUUUUUUGCUGAAUGGUUGUGCAAAAGUGAAGUGAUGUCGCGCAAAACAACUUUGACUGAUUAUUUUGCCAGAAGGCAAACUGUCGAAAAAUGUAAAUUAGCUAAGAUACGUUUGUAGUGAUGUUAUUAUUAUAUUUUGAUGUUUUCUAGUCAAGAACAUUUCGAAGCCGAGUCAACAGCAUGAUGGGACAUUCGACUCUCAUGCUGAGGAAAAUGCAAAGCAAUUCGAUGCGGAGAUACUUAGUGACACAGACGCUGAUAAUGAAGAUUCUGGACCAGCUCAUAAAAAACUAAGAACUGGCACUGAAAAAAUUCAAAAAUACAAAAAUGAAUGGACUCGUGAGUCAGAAUAUCAAUGCUUUGAAAGAUACGAGAAAGAUGAUUUCUUUGCAUGGUGCAAAGUAUGCCUCGAUAAGCUUUGCAUCAAGAGAGGUGGGAAAUCAAAUUUGAAAAAGCACCUUAUUACUAAGCGUCACAUUGAGUCUGCUUCAAAAGUAGUAUUGGCAAACGAUGAUAUCACCCUGGAUGGUUUCAUGAAUUUUCAAGAUCCUGACGAAAUUAUGGCAACACAAGCAGAAUUAAAAAUUUCU